RNAcentral lists this ribosomal RNA (557 nucleotides) under uncultured Nectriaceae. Its description in RNAcentral is "eukaryotic LSU rRNA". The stretch from base 188 to 341 matches the Rfam family "5.8S ribosomal RNA". Lineage: Eukaryota; Fungi; Ascomycota; Sordariomycetes; Hypocreales; Nectriaceae. The record is from RNAcentral.
GAAGUAAAAGUCGUAACAAGGUCUCCGUUGGUGAACCAGCGGAGGGAUCAUUACCGAGUUUACAACUCCCAAACCCCUGUGAACAUACCAUUUGUUGCCUCGGCGGUGCCUGCUUCGGCAGCCCGCCAGAGGACCCAAACCCUUGAUUUUAUACAGUAUCUUCUGAGUAAAUGAUUAAAUAAAUCAAAACUUUCAACAACGGAUCUCUUGGUUCUGGCAUCGAUGAAGAACGCAGCGAAAUGCGAUAAGUAAUGUGAAUUGCAGAAUUCAGUGAAUCAUCGAAUCUUUGAACGCACAUUGCGCCCGCCAGUAUUCUGGCGGGCAUGCCUGUUCGAGCGUCAUUUCAACCCUCAAGCCCCCGGGCUUGGUGUUGGAGAUCGGCGUGCCCCCCGGGGCGCGCCGGCUCCCAAAUAUAGUGGCGGUCUCGCUGUAGCUUCCUCUGCGUAGUAGCACACCUCGCACUGGAAAACAGCGUGGCCACGCCGUUAAACCCCCCACUUCUGAAAGGUUGACCUCGGAUCAGGUAGGAAUACCCGCUGAACUUAAGCAUAUCAAUA